AGAGUUUGAUCCUGGCUCAGAACGAACGCUGGCGGCGUGCUUAACACAUGCAAGUCGAACGCGAACGAGUUCUUCGGAACUUUAGUAGAGUGGCGCACGGGUGAGUAACGCGUAAGUAAUCUACCCUCGCAUCUGGGAUAACCCACCGAAAGGUGUGCUAAUACCGGAUACGUCUAUGUUAAUAUCUUUUUUAUAGAGAAAGGUGGCCUCUGAUUCAAGCUACUGUGCGGGGAGGAGCUUGCGUACCAUUAGCUAGUUGGUAGGGUAACGGCCUACCAAGGCGACGAUGGUUAGCGGGUCUGAGAGGAUGAUCCGCCACACUGGAACUGAAACACGGACCAGACUCCUACGGGAGGCAGCAGUGAGGAAUAUUGCGCAAUGGGGGCAACCCUGACGCAGCGACGCCGCGUGGAUGAUGAAGGCCUUCGGGUUGUAAAAUCCUGUCAGAUGGGAAGAAGUGUGUAGUACUUAAUACGUGCUACAUUUGACGGUACCAUCAAAGGAAGCACCGGCUAACUCCGUGCCAGCAGCCGCGGUAAUACGGAGGGUGCAAGCGUUGUUCGGAAUUACUGGGCGUAAAGCGCGCGUAGGCGGCUAUAUAAGUCUGAUGUGAAAGCCCGCGGCUCAACCGUGGAAGUGCAUUUGAAACUGUAUAGCUUGAGUACUGGAGGGGGUAGUGGAAUUCCCGGUGUAGAGGUG
Molecule: ribosomal RNA, 699 nt
Filed under: uncultured Desulfobacterales bacterium
Lineage: Bacteria; Pseudomonadati; Thermodesulfobacteriota; Desulfobacteria; Desulfobacterales
Description: bacterial SSU rRNA
Rfam family: Bacterial small subunit ribosomal RNA
Source: RNAcentral